RNAcentral lists this transfer RNA (72 nucleotides) under Lactobacillus delbrueckii. RNAcentral describes it as "tRNA-Lys". It matches the Rfam family "tRNA". From Rfam's summary of the family: Transfer RNA (tRNA) molecules are approximately 80 nucleotides in length. Their secondary structure includes four short double-helical elements and three loops (D, anti-codon, and T loops). Further hydrogen bonds mediate the characteristic L-shaped molecular structure. tRNAs have two regions of fundamental functional importance: the anti-codon, which is responsible for specific mRNA codon recognition, and the 3' end, to which the tRNAs corresponding amino acid is attached (by aminoacyl-tRNA synthetases). tRNAs cope with the degeneracy of the genetic code in two manners: having more than one tRNA (with a specific anti-codon) for a particular amino acid; and 'wobble' base-pairing, i.e. permitting non-standard base-pairing at the 3rd anti-codon position. The record is from RNAcentral. Lineage: Bacteria; Bacillati; Bacillota; Bacilli; Lactobacillales; Lactobacillaceae.
GGGUCGUUAGCUCAGCUGGCAGAGCACCGGACUCUUAAUCCGGGUGCCAGGGUUCGAUCCCCUGACGACCCA